CUCCGUCCAGAGCUCACCGGAACGCGCCGCAGUCGCCAAGCCGGUGAGAAGAGGAGGACGCUGGGCCGUUUUCCAGAUCAAACGCUCCUCCCUUUGGAGGAAGGACUCGAGGUUGCUUUGGCAGCUUUUGCAGACAGGCGCACAGCGGCUGCAGAAAAGCCUCCCCCACGGGGGCCCCGAUCCACAGGCCCGACCAGCGCGGCGGAGAAGGCAGAGGCUCUCGGGGGCACCGCGGGGGCCCCAGGAAGCCUCGGGCGCGGGUCCGAGCGGGGCUGAGGCGCCGCGAUCCCCAGAAGCCGGAGGAGCCCGGGCGGAGCGCCGAGACUUGACGCCGACACAAGGGAAAACCUAGAGGAGAGCAAACGGAGACGGACUUCCGCUUCCGGUUUCCGCCCCGCGCUCAACGUAAGGGGCGGGGCCUCCGGAGCUCAGGGAUCAGGAAGUGCGAUGGAGAUGGGGUCGAACGGGGGCGGCGGCUGCUUGCGCCCAAGAGGCAGGCAUGCUGUUGGACCUGGAUCCAGAGCAGGCUUUUCAAAUAGACCAGGGCCAGAGAGCAGGACCCGAGCUGGAGGACCGAGCGGAGCGCUGGGGACCGAGUUAGAAGCCGGCCGGACGCGGAGGGCGGGGCUUGCGUCAUGGCUGUCCCGGGAGGGCGUGGUUCGGGGCGGGGUCAGAGCCCAGGCUUUGUGUACCGACUGCAGGAAGCUCAUCAAAGGCCUUUCGACUGGCCUUUCUCGUGAUUUCUUCAGCCCGAUGCAGCGGUGUGCACAUGUUAGCAAAGGAGGUCAUCAAGAAGGUGUGACUGCCAGUUGAUACUCAGCUGAACCCAGACAAUCGGAGGCUCCCCACUUCGUCCCCUGUCCUUGGAGUAUGCAUUCUGCUUGCCUUCCCUGUUUCCAGAAACUGCCCCAAAUUCAGCCUUGAGAUAGAAAUGUGGUGCUGAGACUAUCUAGAUGGUGUAUGCGUGAUGGAACUCAGUUAAGGCCUCUGUAUAAACUUAAAGAUUUGCUGGGCAGGUGCAGAUUUGCUGUAUAAAGAUUUGCUGUAUAAAGAUUUGCUGGGCAGGUGCAGAAAACUACUCAUCUUGCAGCCGCCCAGACGAGCCUCGUAAGUAAGUUCCCUUACUCAUUAGAACUGCCACCUCCCAGUCUGGAGUGGUUUCUCUCUUUCUUUGGUCUCUUCUUGCCCUCUGAGUGUGGGGGCUGGUUUUAGAUUACACCCAAGAAGCUCCCAAGGAGACGGCAAACCAACACCAUUGAGUCUAAAAUUAUUUCAAAAUAAAGUUUUUAAAAUUCUAUUAUGAUUAAUUUGGGGUACUGUUCAACCUUUGGCAUGUGUCUAAAAUGCCUGCUUGACAUCUCCACUACUGUGAGAAUCGUGUUAAUUUUGAGAUGCCCAAAACUAAAUUCGUGAUUUCUCCCAAUACCCACUCCUACCCAGUCUUACCCCAUUUCAAUAAAUGACAAUUCCAUUAUUGCAGUUGCUCAAGCCAAAAUCCUUAGCAUCGUCUUUCAUGCUUUUUUUUCUCUCAUAGCCCACAUGUAAUCUACCACAAAAGUCUGUCAAUUCUACAUUCAGAAUAUAUAAAGAAUACACAAAAUAGGUUUACAAUUCGUUCACAUCUCACCACGUUUAGUGCUAGCACUGGACUUCAGGCCUUAUCUGUUUCAGCAGCUAGCGUUGCCUUAUCUAGUAGAUGGAUGGAUGGAUGGACGGACGGAUGGCUGGAUGGAUAGAUAGAUAUCCUUGUGGUACUUGUGGUAUAUGUUUCUAGACUAGGUAUCAAGAGGGG
Equus asinus (donkey) is the source of this 1792-nucleotide long non-coding RNA. Lineage: Eukaryota; Metazoa; Chordata; Mammalia; Perissodactyla; Equidae. The record is from Ensembl.